RNAcentral lists this ribosomal RNA (673 nucleotides) under uncultured Lysobacteraceae bacterium. RNAcentral describes it as "bacterial SSU rRNA". It matches the Rfam family "Bacterial small subunit ribosomal RNA", at positions 319 to 982 of the family's 1533-position model. The record is from RNAcentral. Lineage: Bacteria; Pseudomonadati; Pseudomonadota; Gammaproteobacteria; Lysobacterales; Lysobacteraceae.
CUGAGACACGGCCCAGACUCCUACGGGAGGCAGCAGUGGGGAAUAUUGGACAAUGGGGGCAACCCUGAUCCAGCCAUGCCGCGUGAGUGAUGAAGGCCUUCGGGUUGUAAAGCACUUUUGUCCGGAACGAAACGUGUCGGGUGAAUAUCCCGGCAAACUGACGGUACCGGAAGAAUCAGCACCGGCUAACUUCGUGCCAGCAGCCGCGGUAAUACGAAGGGUGCAAGCGUUACUCGGAAUUACUGGGCGUAAAGCGUGCGUAGGUGGUUUGUUAAGUCCGUUGUGAAAGCCCUGGGCUCAACCUGGGAAUGGCAGUGGAUACUGGCAAGCUAGAGUGCGGUAGAGGGUAGUGGAAUUCCCGGUGAGCAGUGAAAUGCGUAGAGAUCGGGAGGAACACCAGUGGCGAAGGCGGCUACCUGGACCAGCACUGACACUGAGGCACGAAAGCGUGGGGAGCAAACAGGAUUAGAUACCCUGGUAGUCCACGCCCUAAACGAUGCGAACUGGAGGUUGGGUGCAACUUGGCACUCAGUCUCGAAGCUAACGCGUUUAAGUUCGCCGCCUGGGGAGUACGGUCGCAAGACUGAAACUCAAAGGAAUUGACGGGGGCCCGCACAAGCGGUGGAGUUAUGUGGUUUAAUUCGAUGCAACGCGAAAAACCUUACCUACCUUG